RNAcentral lists this unclassified non-coding RNA (2240 nucleotides) under Daphnia magna. RNAcentral describes it as "neurocalcin homolog, transcript variant X3". Lineage: Eukaryota; Metazoa; Arthropoda; Branchiopoda; Diplostraca; Daphniidae. The record is from RNAcentral.
CCUGUUUAUUAGUUGGUGUGUUGGCAAGACUUUAGUGUGUAAAUCGCAUUUCUCCAAUGCAAACUCUUUUCCUAGUCUUAUGCUGUUCAUCCGUCUAGGUCUCUUUCUCUUGGCAACUUCGUGAUAUGAGCGUUGGUUAACAUUCGCAUAUUUUCACAUGGAUCGUUUUUCUGAAAUUCAAGUGAAAGCACUUGCCUGUCCCAUCUUGGCCAAACCUUCGUUAAUUGGCUCUCCUCAAUUGGGUUUAACUGUAAUCGGUCGAACUACAAAACCGAGACGUGAUUAAACUACACACGAACAGCUAAGUAGAUAGUUUUUUAUGAAUACCGCGUCGCCUUCAGAGACAUUCAGUUGACAGACCAUCUGUCAAAGGUAAAGGUGUAUCGGUUUCUCGUCGAAAGCGUUUCGAGUACGGGAUCGCAGGUUAACAUCAACAUCAUUCGUGGCGUUCCAUUUCUUUCGUGAUUGUCAAGGCGAUUUCAGCAGCUUUCCAUUUAAAACCAAACCCAGGGGAACAAAGGGCAAACCAUCUUGCAGGAGCAACUUCAUCGUUCCAUUUCCUGCCGAAUCCCUUCAGUAUGGGGAAACAAAACAGCAAGUUGAAACCAGAAGUGCUGGAAGAUUUGCGUCAGAACACGGAAUUUUCAGAUGCGGAAAUCCAGGAGUGGUAUAAAGGAUUCCUGAAAGAUUGCCCUAGUGGACACCUUAGCGUCGAAGAAUUUAAGAAGAUCUACGGCAACUUUUUCCCGUACGGUGACGCAUCAAAGUUUGCUGAACAUGUUUUCCGGACCUUUGACGCUAACGGCGACGGAACUAUUGAUUUUCGGGAAUUCCUCUGUGCCCUGUCCGUCACUUCCCGUGGCAAACUGGAACAAAAGCUCAAAUGGGCCUUUUCCAUGUAUGAUCUUGACGGUAAUGGUUACAUCUCGCGGCAAGAGAUGCUGGAAAUUGUUACGGCAAUCUACAAAAUGGUCGGAUCGGUUAUGAAGAUGCCCGAGGAUGAGUCUACUCCCGAAAAACGGACAGACAAGAUUUUCCGUCAAAUGGAUAAAAAUAUGGAUGGGAAAUUAUCGCUUGAAGAGUUUAUUGAAGGAGCCAAAAGCGAUCCGUCAAUCGUGCGACUGCUUCAGUGCGAUACCCAGGGUGGUGCUCAAUAGCGUUAGCCUCUCAAACGUGUAGCACCAAACGCCCGAUAUACCAUAUACAAGACUAUUUAUCAAAUGGAGAGGCAGAGAGAGAAAGAGGGAGAAAGAAGAGCGAGAAAUGAGCCAAACAGCUUGUGGUUUGUACAUCUGUGGGAAAUAGACCCUAAACACAGACAUGAACAUCCGUACCCUUCGCAUCUCGUCACCUCUUCGUUGCACCAACUUGAAAAUACAGAUAUACAUGUCGCUGCAAUUUGGAGGCUAAAAUGGAGGCACAUUUUAUUAACGUUUUCUGGUGCAAGACUGCAAGUAGUUAUUCAAGUCCUUUGUCCUUUUCAUUAUUAGUGUGCGUUAUUGUCUUUACAGAGUUUGUCGAAUGAAUCUGGAGAAACUGGUGUCCCAUGGGUGAUAACCAAUUGUAUAGCUUGUUCUUGAAUUUCAGUUUUUGAUGGUAUUUGGUUUUACGUAGUAGUCUACGUCAUUAUAAUGACAUCGUUUGUUACGAUUCGGCCUGGGUACAUAUUGUCAAUCAUAUUUACAUCAAUCAAGGUUUCUUCUUCUUCUCUAUUUGACUUCCAUUUCAAUUCUUCAUUGUUGUGCUACAGUUACAAAGUUGUAUUGCUACAUGUAAAUCGUGAACAGUUCUCGACACAGCAUGCCAAGCAAGAGUGAACAAACAUACGAGGGGACACUUCUAAAGAAAGCACGACAGAUAGCACACCCUUUAAUAUUUACAUGAGGUGGUUGGUUUACUUUUUCUCAGGUGCGUGUUAUUUAUUUAAUUCUUUCCCCUACUCUUUAACUACUGUACGUGACAUCGUGUUUUGCAAUCUCGUAUUUGCAUUUAUUUUAUUGCCCAUCUUUCCGCCUUCUUCAGUGUUUGGGACCCCUCUUCCUUUUCGGGUGUGCAUCUAUUCUCUCACAAAAUUUUGGAUUUGAUUGCCCCCGUCAUAAUUCCACCUGAGCAGCCCCAGAAAGAUGAAUGAAAGCUUUAAUUAUAAGCUGAACCCACUUCAAGCUAUGUCGCUUUAUCUUUAUCGUGAAAUUCAAUGCAUGUUUUCCUUAAACUACAAUUAAUAAACAUAUGAAAUCUGG